CAUUCCGAGGCAGCAGUAGGGAAUAUUGGACAAUGGGCGCAAGCCUGAUCCAGCCAUGCCGCGUGAGUGAUGAAGGCCUUAGGGUUGUAAAGCUCUUUCGCCAGGGACGAUAAUGACGGUACCUGGAUAAGAAGCCCCGGCUAACUUCGUGCCAGCAGCCGCGGUAAU
Molecule: ribosomal RNA, 168 nt
Filed under: uncultured Methylocystaceae bacterium
Lineage: Bacteria; Pseudomonadati; Pseudomonadota; Alphaproteobacteria; Hyphomicrobiales; Methylocystaceae
Description: partial 16S ribosomal RNA
Rfam family: Bacterial small subunit ribosomal RNA
Source: RNAcentral